Molecule: unclassified non-coding RNA, 235 nt
Filed under: Hevea brasiliensis (rubber tree)
Lineage: Eukaryota; Viridiplantae; Streptophyta; Magnoliopsida; Malpighiales; Euphorbiaceae
Source: RNAcentral
CACCUGCUUAAAAUGAGUAUAUACUUGUGUACACACACACACAGACCUUCCUUUCAGAAGGUGCUAACAUGAGGAAAUACUGUCGAAUAUGAGACCAAGUAAUAUUAUAACAAGCUCAAAACAGAGCCUCGACAAUGUGCGCCCAUAUAUCAGGAUGGGAAUAUCUAACCUAACAAAACAAAACCUCAUGGCCCCAGACGAAUACAUCUACUAACCAAUCAAUAAUACAAGGAAG